This 466-nucleotide ribosomal RNA is filed under the name uncultured bacterium. Its description in RNAcentral is "partial 16S ribosomal RNA". It matches the Rfam family "Bacterial small subunit ribosomal RNA", at positions 28 to 507 of the family's 1533-position model. The record is from RNAcentral.
GAUGAACGCUGGCGGCGUGCUUAACACAUGCAAGUCGAACGAUGAAGCCCAGCUUGCUGGGUGGAUUAGUGGCGAACGGGUGAGUAACACGUGAGUAACCUGCCCUUAACUCUGGGAUAAGCCUGGGAGACUGGGUCUAAUACCGGAUAGGAGCGUCCACCGCAUGGUGGGUGUUGGAAAGCUUUAGCGGUUUUGGAUGGACUUGCGGCCUAUCAGCUUGUUGGUGUGGGAAUGGCUCACCAAGGCGACGACGGGUAGCCGGCCUGAGAGGGUGACCAGCCACACGGGGACUGAGACACGGCCCAGACUCCUACGGGAGGCAGCAGUGGGGAAUAUUGCACAAUGGGCGCAAGCCUGAUGCAGCGACGCCGCGUGAGGGAUGACGGCCUUCGGGUUGUAAACCUCUUUCAGUAGGGAAGAAGCGAAAGUGACGGUACCUGCAGAAGAAGCACCGGCUAACUACGUG